Long non-coding RNA from Tupaia belangeri chinensis (Chinese tree shrew), 434 nucleotides. RefSeq lists it as uncharacterized. Lineage: Eukaryota; Metazoa; Chordata; Mammalia; Scandentia; Tupaiidae. The transcript is spliced from 4 exons. The record is from RefSeq and is a predicted model, not a curated record.
UAUCACUCUUAAUGGAUUCUGCCCAAGAAGUGAAAAUGAGGUCUGUGAAACAGCAGACCUGGAAGGAAACUGCUCCACUGAAGACCAAGAAGCAAUGGGUUCCAAAAAGUUACUUCCAUUGAUGAUGGAAAGCACAGACCAGUCAGGGACUAUAAAUGACCAGCUCAGCUAUUCAAAACCAAGAGCUGUGAGUUCCACUGUUCAUAACCUGGAAGAAAGGAAAAAGGGCCAACAAGUCACCUAUUAUACACUGAGGUCUGAGAGAGCAGCAACACAUGUGGAAUUCAGAUCUUGGAAUUUCAGACAGUCCUCAUGGAGUCUACCAACAAGCAAGGAAGGCUGCGUUUGAAAAUCUGUUAAUGAAAGAUCAUGAGCAGAUGGAAAAGGAAAAGGAAUUACUGAUGGCACAGGCAUACCUGAAGUUUGAAGAAAUA